GGUAGUAACACGUGAGUAACCUGCCUCAGACAUUGGGAUAGCCUCGGGAAACCGGGAUUAAUACCAAAUAAAAUCAUAAUGACACAUGUCAUAACGAUCAAAACUCCGGUGGUCUAAGAUGGACUCGCGUCCCAUUAGCUAGUUGGUAGGGUAAAAGCCUACCAAGGCGACGAUGGGUAGCCGGCCUGAGAGGGUGAACGGCCACAUUGGAACUGAGAAACGGUCCAA
This 228-nucleotide ribosomal RNA is filed under the name uncultured Eubacteriales bacterium. RNAcentral's name for it is "uncultured Clostridiales bacterium partial 16S ribosomal RNA". It matches the Rfam family "Bacterial small subunit ribosomal RNA", at positions 105 to 334 of the family's 1533-position model. Lineage: Bacteria; Bacillati; Bacillota; Clostridia; Eubacteriales. The record is from RNAcentral.